Molecule: ribosomal RNA, 497 nt
Filed under: uncultured bacterium
Lineage: Bacteria
Description: partial 16S ribosomal RNA
Rfam family: Bacterial small subunit ribosomal RNA
Source: RNAcentral
GAUGAACGCUGGCGGCGUGCCUAAUACAUGCAAGUCGAGCGAACAGACGAGGAGCUUGCUCCUCUGACGUUAGCGGCGGACGGGUGAGUAACACGUGGAUAACCUACCUAUAAGACUGGGAUAACUUCGGGAAACCGGAGCUAAUACCGGAUAAUAUAUUGAACCGCAUGGUUCAAUAGUGAAAGACGGUUUUGCUGUCACUUAUAGAUGGAUCCGCGCCGCAUUAGCUAGUUGGUAAGGUAACGGCUUACCAAGGCAACGAUGCGUAGCCGACCUGAGAGGGUGAUCGGCCACACUGGAACUGAGACACGGUCCAGACUCCUACGGGAGGCAGCAGUAGGGAAUCUUCCGCAAAGGGCGAAAGCCUGACGGAGCAACGCCGCGUGAGUGAUGAAGGUCUUCGGAUCGUAAAACUCUGUUAUUAGGGAAGAACAAAUGUGUAAGUAACUAUGAACGUCUUGAAGGUACCUAAUCAGAAAGCCACGGCUAACUACGUG